UGGCACUUUCAGUGUCCGAGUUGUAAUUUGAAGAAGGUAUCUUUGGGUCUGGCUCUUGUCUAUGUUUCUUGGAACAGAACGUCACAGAGGGUGAGAAUCCCGUGCGAUGAGAUGUCCCAGACCUAUGUAAAGUUCCUUCGAAGAGUCGAGUUGUUUGGGAAUGCAGCUCUAAGUGGGUGGUAAAUUCCAUCUAAAGCUAAAUAUUGGCGAGAGACCGAUAGCGAACAAGUACAGUGAUGGAAAGAUGAAAAGAACUUUGAAAAGAGAGUGAAAAAGUACGUGAAAUUGUUGAAAGGGAAGGGCUUGAGAUCAGACUUGGUAUUUUGUAUGUUACUCUCUCGGGGGUGGCCUCUACAGUUUACCGGGCCAGCAUCAGUUUGAGCGGUAGGAUAAGUGCAAAGAAAUGUGGCACUGCUUCGGUAGUGUGUUAUAGUCUUUGUCGAUACUGCCAGCUUAGACUGAGGACUGCGGCUUCGGCCUAGGAUGUUGGCAUAAUGAUCUUAAGUCGCCCGUCUUGAA
RNAcentral lists this ribosomal RNA (519 nucleotides) under Lodderomyces parapsilosis. RNAcentral's name for it is "eukaryotic LSU rRNA". It matches the Rfam family "Eukaryotic large subunit ribosomal RNA", at positions 123 to 658 of the family's 3401-position model. The record is from RNAcentral. Lineage: Eukaryota; Fungi; Ascomycota; Pichiomycetes; Serinales; Debaryomycetaceae.